CACGGGAAAACUUACCAGGUCCAGACAUAGUGAGGAUUGACAGAUUGAGAGCUCUUUUCUUGAUCCUAUGGGUGGUGGUGCAUGGCCGUUCUUAGUUGGUGGAGUGAUUUGUCUGGUUAAUUCCGUUAACGAACGAGACCACUGCCUGCUAAAUAGCCCAGUGAGUGAAUUUUCACUGACUGCUGGCUUCUUAGAGGGACGUGCAUUCUUUUAGAUGCAGGAGGAUAGUGGCUAUAACAGGUCUGUGAUGCCCUUAGAUGUCCUGGGCCGCACGCGCGCUACACUGAUGCAUUCAACGAGUUUACCUUGGCCGAGAGGCCUGGGCAAUCUUUUAAACGUGCAUCGUGAUAGGGAUAGAUUAUUGCAAUUGUUAAUCUUGAACGAGGAAUUCCUAGUAAACGCAAAUCACCAAUUUGCAUUGAUUACGUCCCUGCCCUUUGUACACACCGCCCGUCGCACCUACCGAUUGAAUGGUCCGGUGAGGCCUCGGGAUUGUGACC
This 500-nucleotide ribosomal RNA is filed under the name uncultured diatom. Its description in RNAcentral is "SSU rRNA". It matches the Rfam family "Eukaryotic small subunit ribosomal RNA", at positions 1204 to 1722 of the family's 1831-position model. Lineage: Eukaryota; Bacillariophyta. The record is from RNAcentral.